RNAcentral lists this ribosomal RNA (707 nucleotides) under uncultured bacterium. RNAcentral describes it as "bacterial SSU rRNA". It matches the Rfam family "Bacterial small subunit ribosomal RNA", at positions 141 to 851 of the family's 1533-position model. The record is from RNAcentral.
AGAUAACCCGCGGAAACGUGGACUAACAUCCCAUGACACUCUAGAGCCGCAUGGCUCUAGAUUUAAAAUUCCGGUGGUACGGGACGGGCACGCGCGACAUUAGGUAGUUGGCGGGGUAAGGGCCCACCAAGCCGACGAUGUCUAGGGGUUCUGAGAGGAAGGUCCCCCACACUGGAACUGAGACACGGUCCAGACUCCUACGGGAGGCAGCAGUGAGGAAUAUUGGUCAAUGGGCGAGAGCCUGAACCAGCCAAGUCGCGUGAGGGACGAAUGGUCUAUGGCCUGUAAACCUCUUUUGUCAAGGAAGAAUAAGGAUGACGAGUCAUUCGAUGCCAGUACUUGACGAAUAAGCAUCGGCUAACUCCGUGCCAGCAGCCGCGGUAAUACGGGGGAUGCGAGCGUUAUCCGGAUUUAUUGGGUUUAAAGGGCGCGUAGGCGGGACGUCAAGUCAGCGGUAAAAGACUGCAGCUAAACUGUAGCACGCCGUUGAAACUGGCGCCCUCGAGACGAGACGAGGGAGGCGGAACAAGUGAAGUAGCGGUGAAAUGCAUAGAUAUCACUUGGAACCCCGAUAGCGAAGGCAGCUUCCCAGGCUCGAUCUGACGCUGAUGCGCGAGAGCGUGGGUAGCGAACAGGAUUAGAUACCCUGGUAGUCCACGCCGUAAACGAUGCUCACUGGAUCUUGGCGAUACAAGCCAGUGUUCAAG